AUGGAGGACCCCUGUCUUUCUACGCAGCUUAUUGAUGGAGAUGGUGUUUUCAAUGUUUCUGGAUUGGAGAGUUUCAUGAAGGAAGUUAAAUUGGCCGAAUGUGGGCUCUCAUACGCUGUUGUAUCAAUAAUGGGCCCACAGAGUAGUGGUAAAAGUACACUUUUGAAUCAUCUUUUCCGCACCAAUUUUAGGGAGAUGGAUGCUUUCAGAGGAAGGUCACAGACAACCAAAGGUAUAUGGAUGGCGAAGGCCCAGAAUAUUGAACCAUGCACCCUUGUAAUGGAUUUGGAAGGCACUGAUGGAAGAGAGAGGGGAGAGGAUGACACGGCCUUUGAGAAGCAGAGUGCAUUAUUUGCUUUGGCUGUUUCGGAUAUUGUGUUGAUCAAUAUGUGGUGCCAUGAUAUUGGCAGAGAACAGGCUGCGAACAAGCCUCUUUUGAAGACUGUUUUCCAGGUCAUGAUGAGAUUAUUUAGUCCUCGCAAAACAACAAUGCUAUUUGUUAUUCGUGACAAAUCAAAGACACCUUUGGAAAAUCUUGAACCGAUUUUAAGAGAAGAUAUUCAGAAGAUAUGGGAUGGUGUUCCUAAACCCCAUGCCCAUAAAGAUACUCCACUCAGUGAAUUUUUCAAUGUGCAAGUGGUGGCCCUUAACAGUUAUGAGGAAAAGGAAGAGUUAUUUAGAGAGCAGGUUUCCAACUUGAGAGAUAGGUUUCAACAGUCUAUUGCUCCUGGUGGACUUGCUGGAGAUCGGCGUGGUGUUGUUCCAGCAUCAGGUUUUUCAUUUAGCUCACAGCAAUUUUGGAAGGUCAUCAAGGAGAACAAAGACCUUGACCUACCUGCUCAUAAAGUUAUGGUGGCUACUGUGCGUUGUGAAGAAAUUGGUUAUGAGAAAGUUGCCACUUUUACAGCUGAUGAGGAAUGGCAACAAUUUGAGGAGGCUGUUCAAAGUGACUAUGUACCAGGUUUCGGGAAGAAAAUCAGCAGCCUGCUUGAUAGAUGUUUAUCAGAAUACGACAUGGAGGCUAUUUAUUUUGAUGAAGGUGUCAGAACAUCAAAAAGGCAUCAACUUGAGUCUAAACUCUUGCAGCUUGUCAAUCCUGCAUACCAAUCUCUUCUUGGUCAUUUACGGACUAGAACUUUAGAAGCAUUCAAAGAGUCCUUUGAUAAGGCCGUUGAAAAGGAGGGAUUUGCUGUUGCUGCUCGCGAUUCUACCCAGAUUUUCUUGGAGAAGUUUGAUAAAGGAUCUGAAGAUGCUACCAUUCAACAAGUGAACUGGGAUCCCUCGAAAGUUAAGGAUAAGCUUAAGCGUGACAUUGAGGCUCAUGUGGUGUCAGUUCGUGCUACAAAGCUUUCUGAACUUUGUGCCACAUAUGAGGGCAAACUUACCAAAGCUCUUGCAGAACCUGUUGAAGCUCUUCUAGAUUCAGCCAGUGAAGACACCUGGCCAGCUAUUAGAAAGCUUCUUCAGCGUGAGACAAAAGCCGCCGUUUCAGGUCUUGAAUCUGCUAUUUCAACUUUUGAGCUUGAUGAAGCUACUGAAAAAGAAUUGCUCUUGCGGCUGGAGAAUCACGGAAGGAGCGUUGUUGAAUCAAAGGCAAGAGAAGAAGCUGCAAGGAUCUUGAUCCGCAUGAAGGACAGAUUCUCGACGUUAUUCAGUCGUGAUGCCGACUCGAUGCCAAGAGUAUGGACAGGAAAGGAAGACAUCAAAGCAAUUACUAAAACUGCUCGUUCAGCUUCCAUGAAGUUGCUUUCUACGAUGGCUGCAAUUCGGUUGGAAGAAGAUGGUGACAACAUUGAUACCACUCUUUCCCUUGCUCUAGUAGAUGCUGCGAGGCCAGGGACUACAGAUAGAAGUAUUCAAUCGCUUGAUCCACUCGCCUCCAGUUCAUGGGAAAGGGUUCCAGAGGAGAGAACUUUAAUCUCCCCUGUCCAGUGCAAGUCUCUGUGGAGGCAAUUUAAAGCUGAAACUGAGUAUACCGUCACUCAAGCCAUAGCUGCUCAGGAAGCAAACAAGAGGAACAACAACUGGCUGCCUCCUCCAUGGGCGCUCGCCGCGAUGGCUGUCCUUGGUUUCAAUGAGUUCAUGACAUUACUGAGGAACCCAUUUUACCUGGCCGUCAUGUUUGUAGUUUUCCUAGUCGGGAAAGCCAUAUGGGUACAACUAGACAUUGCCAAUGAAUUCCGAAAUGGAUUUCUUCCAGCUCUCCUUUCGCUGUCGACAAAAUUUGUUCCGACAAUUAUGAACAUUCUGAAGAGACUAGCUGAUGAGGGGGCAGCGCCCGCAGCCCCAGAGAGGCAGAGAGAGACGGAGCUCCAACCAAGGAAUAAUAGUUCAAACAGCAACGUGACAUCAGCAGGUUCCUCCAGCUUAACCUCUUCAGAGAAUGGACCUGAAUAUUCAAGCCCGGUAGCACAAUGA
RNAcentral lists this ribosomal RNA (2418 nucleotides) under Triticum aestivum (bread wheat). RNAcentral's name for it is "partial small subunit ribosomal RNA". The record is from RNAcentral. Lineage: Eukaryota; Viridiplantae; Streptophyta; Magnoliopsida; Poales; Poaceae.